Molecule: RNA transcript, 1605 nt
Organism: Mauremys reevesii (Reeves's turtle)
Lineage: Eukaryota; Metazoa; Chordata; Testudines; Geoemydidae
Gene name: class I histocompatibility antigen, F10 alpha chain-like
Exons: 6
Source: RefSeq, a predicted model, not a curated record
GCUAUUUCUACAUGGGGGUGUCAGAGCCUGGCCCCAGGCUGCCCCAGUUCAUCGCGGCCGGCUACGUGGACAACCAGCCCGUCAUUGCCUACACCACCAAGACAAAGAACGCGGAGCCCAGAACAGAGUGGAUGGCGAGGAACCUGGACCCGGCGUACUGGGACCGGGAGACACGGAUCUUCCAGGUCAAUAAGGCCAGGUUCAGAGAUGCUGUGGAGACGCUGAGAAACCGCUACAACCAGAGCAGGGGGUUUCACACUUGGCAGUUCAUGGCUGGCUGUGAGUUACUGGAUGGCAGAAGCACCGGUGGGUACUGGCAGUACGGCUACGAUGGAAGAGACUUUAUCAGCCUGGAUAAGGAGACCCUGACCUGGACAGCAGCAGACACAGGAGCACAAGUCACCAAGGGGAAGUGGGAGGCUGAUAGGAGCUUGGCAGAGGAUGGCAAGCGGUAUCUGGAGCAGAACUGUGUCGAGGAGCUCAGAAAGUACCUGGAAUACGGGAAGGAGACUCUGCAGAGGAAAGAGACCCCGGAAGUGAAGGUGUUGGCCAAGGAAGCCCCCGAAGGCCCCACCACCCUCUCCUGCCGGGCCCACGGCUUCUACCCCCGGGACAUCGCCAUCACCUGGGUGAAAGAUGGGGAGACCAGAGACCAGGAGACGCAGCGAGGGGGCAUUGUGCCCAACGGGGACGGGACCUACCACACCUGGGUGACCACAGAGGUAGAUCCCAAGGAGACAGACCUGUACAGGUGCCGAGUGGAGCACGAGAGCCUGAGGAAGCCCCGUGAUUUCUUUUGGGUUAAGGACAAGCCCAACUCCUCGCUGAGCUCCAUCAUGGUUGGAGUUAGCGCUGUCCUCACCCUGGUCGCGGGUGUGAUAAUCAGAGUCAGCGUCUGGAGAAGGCAGUCAGGCAACAGCUCUGGACAGAUGAGGGCAGAUUCUCCGGCUGCUCUGGACUCCCAGGACAACAGAAGCAAUGCAGACCCAGAGUCAGUGCAGUGUGACCGCCCGCUGGGGCCUGAGCCAGAGACCCUGAUGGAAAUUGCUCCUGGGGCAGGAAGGAACUGGAGACUGUUAGCUCUGUGAUGAUCUUGUUCCCUGCCCUGAGUCUGUCUGUGAGCCCAGGGGUCGGGGCUGUAUCAGGCACCUCAGCCCGUGGACGCAGAUCGGAGCUGGUUCCGGCCCUGAGAACGGCUGCGCUCACUGAAACCUCUUCUCUCUCCGCGGGGAGAAAGGGAGCCGGCUACUCGCCUCCAGUGUAACAGGGCCUGUCAGAUGCUGCGCCUGGAGGGGUCCCAGGGAAACCAGCACAGACCGAUCGCCCUGCAGCUGCCCAUCAGCCCCUUCCUGUCUCCUCUGAGUGUCCUGGGAGGGGCUCCGGGCCCUGCUUGCUUUGCCAGUUGAUGGAGCUUGGCCAGGAGUGUCACUGACAGUUCAGCAGCGAGUGACUGCAGGGACGGCUGCUGCCACACCUCUUCCUGCUGUCAGCAUGCGAGAGGAGUCCAGGCGUGGAAACAAGGCUGAAAUUGACCAUGUGCCAAGAAGGAGAGUUUAGCAAGGAAAACCCACAGUGAUGUGAAUAUCAGCGAGGCAAAGACCUGUC